This 90-nucleotide transfer RNA is filed under the name Larix sibirica. Its description in RNAcentral is "tRNA-Ile". The record is from RNAcentral. Lineage: Eukaryota; Viridiplantae; Streptophyta; Pinopsida; Pinales; Pinaceae.
CUGGGCUUAGUCAAUGGCUUAAUCAAUUUUUCAAUAUAUAAUUAACCAAUGUUGAAGCCAGUAUACAAGGUUCAAUUCCUUGAGUUAUGG